Molecule: long non-coding RNA, 669 nt
Filed under: Vigna radiata
Lineage: Eukaryota; Viridiplantae; Streptophyta; Magnoliopsida; Fabales; Fabaceae
Description: long non-coding RNA (VRAD_LNC008135)
Source: RNAcentral
UUUUUCAGUUGGUUAGAAAAAAAUAUAUUAGAAAGAGAAAAGAAAACAGUACCAUAAGUUUCAGGAUAAGAACUCUUAGAACUUAAAAAGAAAACCAAAACAAAGACACCAAAAUACUGAAGUCCUAUAACUGUAAAACCUAGUUAGUGUAGGAGUGUUGUCCAAUCUCUUUGCAUAUCUUAUAUGUUGAUUCCAUGAAAUAAUGAUGAACACUAAAGAGAAACUGCGUACACAAUACUCUACCCUUGUAAUCAUAAAUACAAGCUUGGAUUUGGUUUGGAGGGAAUUGGCUUGGAAGUUGAACUUGAGGGGGUGGUGGCAAACCCUGUUGUGGAGGAGGUUGAGGAGGAGCAUUAGGAGGAGGAAUAACAGGAAUGGACUGAGGAAGAUUAGCAGGGGUAGGAAGGUGUGGUUGAGAUUGCACAGUAGCAGGAACAGCUUGCUGCACAGGGUCGGUAGUUGUGCUAGAUUGAGCUUCUGAUUUCUGAUUUGUAUUGGACACUUGUAGCUUUGCCAAUUGCAGCUGAGCUUGGAUUAUAUCUUGCUUGUCCUUGAUAGUUUGCACCUGUGUGUUUCAUAUAUCAAACAAAACAGGUAAAAACAGGAGUAGUAUGAAAAUAAACUCGCAUAUAUCAUGAAAGCUUCGGGAUAAAUUAGCUUUAGCGCUAC